CGCAUCUGUGCAUGCAGCAUAUCAAUAAGCGGAGGAAAAGAAACUAACAAGGAUUCCUCUUAGUAACGGCCGAGUGGAAGGCGGGAAGAGGCUCAAAUUUCGAAAUCUUCAAGGUUUUACCUUGACGAAUUGUAGUUUAAAGAAGUGUUUUCUGUUGAAGUUUUGGUAAAAGUUCUUUGGAAUAGGACGAUCAUAGAGGGGUGAGAAUCCCGUAUUUGACCAUUAUUUUCAGCUGUGUGAUACACUUUCAAAGAGUCGGAUUGUUUGGGAAUGCAGUCCAAAAUGGGUGGUAAAUUUCAUCUAAAGCUAAAUAUUGGCGAAGAGACCGAUAGCGAACAAGUACCGUGAGGGAAAGAUGAAAAGAACUUUGAAAAGAGAGUUAAACAGUACGUGAAAUUGUCAAAAGGGAAGCGUUUGACACCAGUGUUGUUUUCUCGAAAAUCAAUUAAAAAGAGUUUGAUUUUGUUGUGUAUUGACCUUAACAGCUUGCAUUUCAAUUUUCUUGCUUUUUUUAAUGCACUUUUCGUUUAACAAGUCAACAUCAGUUUCUUUUGUUGUAAAAAGGUCAUUGGAAGGUGGCUUUCUUUUCGGAGAAAGUGUUUAUAGCCUUUGACUCCUGCAAUCGGAGAGACUGAGGUCUGCAGCGUAGAUCCUUCGGGGUUAGAUACAUUUGUGCUAAGUUAUAGCUUUUUAUAGACAACUUCGUUGACUAUGAUUAGUCUUGUAGCUUACUCGCUUAUGCUAUUUUACCUACGCUUAGGAUGUUGACACACGCGCGUGCUCG
RNAcentral lists this ribosomal RNA (784 nucleotides) under uncultured Neocallimastigales. Its description in RNAcentral is "partial large subunit ribosomal RNA". It matches the Rfam family "Eukaryotic large subunit ribosomal RNA", at positions 26 to 643 of the family's 3401-position model. Lineage: Eukaryota; Fungi; Neocallimastigomycota; Neocallimastigomycetes; Neocallimastigales. The record is from RNAcentral.